GGAGAGGAGUUCGGGAGGGCUCGGCCACCUGGAUCGGCGCGCGUGCGCGCGACGAUCUACGAGGCCAUGCAAGGAAAACGGAUUUUUGCGUUCGCCCAUUACAGAGAUAGCGCCAAUCCGCCUCUUUCAUUAGUGUUCCUGUAUAUGCUCCCGCAGGGAGCAGAGUUGCGCAUUUUUCCGGUGCCGCUCGCACCGCUAUUCGCCAAGCGCGAUCACGGGGUGCAAGAUCACGUCUAAUGAUGAACUGCGCGCUCCGAAGCCAACUUUACGGAAACGGCGCCGACUCGUUUCUGUCAGUACCAUCGAAAUUGCAAUCAGCGGACCGUCGAGUGUGCUUAGCUACGAUCGCCUCCGGGUUUCAGUAUGACUGGUUGCAGCGCACCAAACUGCGCAAAUCGCACGCAAGGUGGCAAAGCUUUUUUACGCGGUGCCGUGCGGACAAACGAGACUGGCCGGCUCCAAGAGGGACCAGGAUAUGCGAGGUCCGUUCGCCUUGUUUACAAAGUGGCUUUGAAUUCUGUCCCCCAAGGCUCCAAGAACCAGAACACAUCCCCUACUGCCACUAGCCAUUGAUCAUCCAUUUCCUUGUACAAAAUAAAUUUGAUCUAGAAGCUCGUGCAUCUUUAAUCUUUUUCCACUUGCAGAUUUGCUGCUACGAAGCAGCUGUGAAGUUUGCGGUAUGAAUCGUAAAAAUAAGCUUUGCAUAAGAUGUGCGCAUGUGAACAUUUGAAAUGCGUUUAAAUUUACGUGUCCGCACCGCAUAUAUAUCGAAAAGGUGCAGCUGCUGUGAACGACGUCUAGUGAUGAAUGACGGUCAAUGGUCACUGACAUAAUUGCAGGCACGAUAGUUCUGUUGGCGACAUUCAUUAUUCGUCUCGUUUCGCCAGCCAAAAUGUGCUUACAUAAUUGUCUACCACACGUGUGUGAAGUUUUCUUUAAACACCCUUUAAAUCAUUUCUUGCCUUCCGCCUCCGCGAGAAAACUUCAUAUGCAUGCUGAAUUCCAUUGCACCGCGCUU
Long non-coding RNA from Dermacentor andersoni, 1018 nucleotides. RefSeq lists it as uncharacterized. Lineage: Eukaryota; Metazoa; Arthropoda; Arachnida; Ixodida; Ixodidae. The record is from RefSeq and is a predicted model, not a curated record.